This 21-nucleotide non-coding RNA is filed under the name Caenorhabditis elegans. Lineage: Eukaryota; Metazoa; Nematoda; Chromadorea; Rhabditida; Rhabditidae. The record is from RNAcentral.
UGACUAUUAAAAAAUCGGGAC